This 667-nucleotide ribosomal RNA is filed under the name uncultured bacterium. RNAcentral describes it as "bacterial SSU rRNA". It matches the Rfam family "Bacterial small subunit ribosomal RNA", at positions 63 to 761 of the family's 1533-position model. The record is from RNAcentral.
CGCGGGAAUCCCAGCAAUGGGGGAACCGGCGUAAGGGGCAGUAAGGCGUGGGUACCUACCCUGGGGUCUGGGAUAGCCGUCCGAGAGGGCGGGUAAUACCGGAUGACCUCGGGAGAGCAAAGCUCCGGCGCCCUGGGAGGGGCCCACGUGAUAUUAGCUAGUUGGCGGGGUAACGGCCCACCAAGGCGGAGAUGUCUAGCGGGUGUGAGAGCACGACCCGCGCCACUCGCACUGAGACACUGGCGAGACACCUACGGGUGGCUGCAGUCGAGGAUCUUCGGCAAUGUGCGCAAGCACGACCGAGCGACGCCGCGUGGGCGACGAAGGCCUUCGGGUUGUAAAGCCCUGUCGAGGGGGAGAAAAGCCCGCAAGGGUGUGAUCUAUCCCUGGAGGAAGCUCGGGCUAAGUUCGUGCCAGCAGCCGCGGUAAGACGAACCGAGCGAACGUUGUUCGGAAUCACUGGGCUUAAAGGGCGCGUAGGCGGGCUGCCAAGUUUGGGGUGAAAUCCUCCGGCUCAACCGGGGAAGUGCCUCGAAUACUGGCGGUCUCGAGGGAGGUAGGGGCGUGCGGAACUGUAGGUGGAGCGGUGAAAUGCGUUGAUAUCUACAGGAACUCCGGUGGCGAAGGCGGCACGCUGGACCUUUUCUGACGCUGAGGCGCGAAAGCC